GGGAUAUAGCUCAGCUAGUAGAGUGCUUGCCUCACAUGCACGAGGCGAUGGGCUCAAUUCCCAGCAAGCACCA
This 73-nucleotide transfer RNA is filed under the name Marmota monax (woodchuck). RNAcentral describes it as "tRNA.Val". The record is from RNAcentral. Lineage: Eukaryota; Metazoa; Chordata; Mammalia; Rodentia; Sciuridae.